GAAUCACCCUCUCCCUGCCCGCCGCGUGCGCGCCGUGCCAUCUGCAAGAGUGUGGGGCACGCCUCGCCCAAUCCCCCGCCCGCACCACUCCCUCCCUGCCUCACGCCCAAUCCCCUCGCCCGCACCGCUCCCUCCCUCCUCGAUCUCUCUCCCUGGCCAGCCGCCAUAGGUGGGAAACCCUAGCCCAUUAUCCCAAUCAACACAGCCACAGCUCCUCUCCUUCUUUCUCCCUUCUCCCCCCUCCUCCCCUCACCACAGCCACAACCUAGGGGCUCCGCCGUCCGUUUCGAUGAGAUCCACCACCUCGCGAGGUUCUCAUCUGCCCCAGGUUUCGAGGAAGCCGCGGGAGGAGGAGUGACCUCGGUGCGAGAUAGGUACCGAGGAGGAGCUCAACUAGUGCGUCUUCGGCCGGAGGAGGGAUGCGAGCCAGGAGGCGGAUCGGCUCGGCCCAGCUAUGGAGGCGGCCGGGGCGGGCGCGGAGAGGGCCGAUGCGGCGGCGGCCGGGGCGGGCGCGGAGAGGGCCGAUGCGGCGGCGGCCAAGGCCAGGGAGGACGAGGUUGCAUCCAUCAGCGAGAAGCGGCCAAUCCACCUGCGUGCCGUCACUGCAGGGAUAGCGAAGGUCAGCGAGAAAGGUCAUCGUGGGGGCACACCGCCGUCUCCCUCUCCCCUGGUGGCACCUCCCUAUAUGUUGAGGUUGGUCCUGGAAUGGUUGGCUUUAGGACUUUUGGUGGCAGUAUAUUCUUAUGCCGACGAAAAGCAUUUGCAGGAUGAUUAUGUGGUUAUCUGUGGCAGUGUGCUCCUAUCCUCCCCGCCUCCACACUUCAUUUUUGGAAAACUAAUGAUUUUAAUUCCUCGAUGUCAUAGAUGUUGAGGUUGGUCCUGGAAUGGUUGGCUUUGGGACUUUUGGUGGCAGUAUAUUCUUAUGCCGACGACAAGCAUUUGCAGGACGAUUAUGUGGUUAUCUGUGGCAGUGUGCUCCUAUCCUCCCCGCCUCCAUACUUCAUUUUUGGAAAACUAAUGAUUUUAAUUCCUCGAUGUCAUAGGUACCAUUGAUUGUGCCUCAGCUUCGUAGCCGAUCUUCGAUCGUCCAUGGCAUCAACACACAAAUUGAUAAUGCAAGCCUCAGGUCAAUACCUCCCCUAUUUGAUUUCUGCGGCAGAGUACUAAUAACUUUAUUGUUUGUGUUUUUGGAUAAGAUUUGCAUGGUAUUUCUAUCAUUGGUUGAUUGCUUGGAUACUUUCACUAUAGUAGUUGUUCUGCCUCAUCUAUCACUAUCUGCAAGCUUACUUUGAUUAUGUGUCUCCCAACUUUCUGUAACUAAAAAGCAGCCUGUAAAUGUAGCUUGAAUAAAAAUGGUACCUUUCUGUUUUGUGCAAGUUCAGAGUAUUAGUACUUUCAGUUUGUCCAAUUUUUGCAGGGAUAUUGUGUGAGGUUUGGUACAAGCUUUAAGACAAUCACUUAAUACAUUCAUUGGAUCACCAACUUUUGGCGUUUUUUGAUACUAGCUAGAUAUGUUGCGCCAUGGUUUUUUUCCAAAAAAAAUUACAACUGGCAAUUAACGACACAUCAAAUGUUCUGUGGAUCAUUUUGUUAGGUUGGAUUUAGUAGGUCAUAAUGGUUUUAUUCUACGACAGGAUUAAUUUUGUUUGUACUUUAACCAGUUCAAUGAUUGGUGGUCGAGCACUAUGAUCUUUGCACACUAAGGUUCGGUUGUGUUCUUUGAGAAAUACUAGCCUAACCCGCGCGGCGGCACGCCGCGCUUGAUGAUCACUCGCAAAUGGUCAAUCUAUUGAUUCAAGAGUGGAUCAGUGCAUGCUCAUUUAACCUCACAACAAUGUAUAGAGAUAUUGAAGAAACCGAGCAUAUGAAGCUAUUAAACUUUUUCAAAUGUAGGGGUACAAAGAUACAAAUUAAAAGUAGCACACUUCCAAGGCAAAUAAACUAUUUAGACUACAUAGAGUUCACUGUAAGCAGAGAACUAUAUGUAGAAACACAAACACAUUACAUAAAUGAGCUAGAAGUAGUUGGUGAUAUAUUAGAUCAUCCUAGUAUACCCUCCUGCAGGAUUGCUGCCCGUGAUAGAGUGGUAAAGUGA
Molecule: ribosomal RNA, 2095 nt
Filed under: Triticum aestivum (bread wheat)
Lineage: Eukaryota; Viridiplantae; Streptophyta; Magnoliopsida; Poales; Poaceae
Description: partial small subunit ribosomal RNA
Source: RNAcentral